GGAUGUGAGGGCGAUCUGGCUGCGACAUCUGUCACCCCAUUGAUCGCCAGGGUUGAUUCGGCUGAUCUGGCUGGCUAGGCGGGUGUCCCCUUCCUCCCCUCACCGCUCCAUGUGCAUCCCUCCCGAAGCUGCGCGCUCGGUCGAAGAGGACGACCAUCCCCGAUGAGGAGGACCGUUCUUCGGUCAAGGGUAUACGAGUAGCUGCGCUCCCCUGCUAGAACCUCCAAACAAGCUCUCAAGCUCUGAAAGAAAACUGCCAACCUAGAUUAUUGUAACCAGCAAAGUUAUCCUUCAUAAUUGAAGGAGAAGUAAAAACUU
This 318-nucleotide small nuclear RNA is filed under the name Castor canadensis (American beaver). Its description in RNAcentral is "7SK RNA (ENSCCNG00000001856.1)". It matches the Rfam family "7SK RNA". Rfam says of the family: 7SK was discovered as an abundant small nuclear RNA in the mid-70s but a possible function has only recently been suggested. Two independent studies have found that 7SK RNA binds the CDK9/cyclin T complex (known as elongation factor P-TEFb). P-TEFb activates transcription by phosphorylating the C-terminal domain of RNA polymerase II. Lineage: Eukaryota; Metazoa; Chordata; Mammalia; Rodentia; Castoridae. The record is from Rfam by way of RNAcentral.